UACGAGAGGCGCAAACGUUAUUCGGAAUUACUGGGCGUAAAGGGCUCGUAGGCGGCCAACUAAGUCGGACGUGAAAUCCCUCAGCUUAACUGGGGAACUGCGUCCGAUACUGGAUGGCUUGGAUUCGGGAGAGGGAUGCGGAAUUCCAGGUGUAGCGGUGAAAUGCGCAGAUAUCAGGAGGAACACCAAUUGCGAAGGCAGCUCGCUGGGACGUUACUGACGCUGAGACGCGAAAGCGUGGGGAGCAAACAGG
RNAcentral lists this ribosomal RNA (253 nucleotides) under uncultured bacterium. RNAcentral's name for it is "partial 16S ribosomal RNA". It matches the Rfam family "Bacterial small subunit ribosomal RNA", at positions 524 to 776 of the family's 1533-position model. The record is from RNAcentral.